Molecule: ribosomal RNA, 429 nt
Filed under: Chloroflexota bacterium
Lineage: Bacteria; Bacillati; Chloroflexota
Description: Chloroflexi bacterium partial 16S ribosomal RNA
Rfam family: Bacterial small subunit ribosomal RNA
Source: RNAcentral
UGGGGAAUAUUGCACAAUGGGCGCAAGCCUGAUGCAGCCAUGCCGCGUGUGUGAAGAAGGCCUUCGGGUUGUAAAGCACUUUCAGCGGGGAGGAAGGCGUUAAGGUUAAUAACCUUGGCGAUUGACGUUACCCGCAGAAGAAGCACCGGCUAACUCCGUGCCAGCAGCCGCGGUAAUACGGAGGGUGCAAGCGUUAAUCGGAAUUACUGGGCGUAAAGCGCACGCAGGCGGUCUGUCAAGUCGGAUGUGAAAUCCCCGGGCUCAACCUGGGAACUGCAUUCGAAACUGGCAGGCUAGAGUCUUGUAGAGGGGGGUAGAAUUCCAGGUGUAGCGGUGAACUGCGUAGAGAUCUGGAGGAAUACCGGUGGCGAAGGCGGCCCCCUGGACGAAGACUGACGCUCAGGUGCGAAAGCGUGGGGAGCAAACAGG